CCGAAUUGUCUUGGAGUGGCCACAGGAGGCGGUGUGUGUGGUGGAGAGGAGGUGAAGGACCAGCAAAAGGGAAUUAGGUUUUAUGGCCCUCACCUGCUUUCUGUUGGCAUGCGUUGCCUCAUUUUCGUUUGUUUGGUGUGGCGUGGUGUCCGGUUUCCCCGUGGCUUCUUUUUCCUUGUUGGAUGUUUGCUUGUCUUAAGGUGACGGGCAGCCUUAUAGAUGAUCCGUAAUAUAGCACCCCUCGGUGACGGAACGAGGUACGUUUGCCUUUUGUGAUUUAGUUGUUGUGAUAAUUGUAAGUUUCCUGUUGAUGAUGUAUUGUAAAUAAAUUGUUUUUUUUGUAUCUGUUUUUAAGUUUUCACGGUGCACAAUGAAGUGGAAAUAAAGAGUUGAAGCACCUGUCGAGACUCCCGUUUAUUGACCCAGGGGCAGCUACAGUGAAAACUCGACCAUCGGAAGAGUAAGGCUUCAGCUAAGAAAAUCAACGUUAUUGCACAAGUAUUUGAUAACGGCGGUCCGGCCCAGUGUACGCCCCUUUCGCGCACCGGCGAGCUCAGCCAAUGGACGGUAUUUGUUACGCUUCUAGUUCAAGCGAACUGGGUAGCGAUACAUAAGAGACUGGUGAUAAAGCCUAUGAUUAAGUGCUUAAUGUUUAGGGUUUGAAUGUGUUUUAUAAUGUAUUCCUUUUCUCCUUUUUGGGGUUGAAGGGUAAAGUUAUAUUGAUUAAAAUAUUUGUAGUUUA
This is a long non-coding RNA of Archocentrus centrarchus (flier cichlid), 742 nucleotides long. RefSeq lists it as uncharacterized. NCBI's taxonomy places the organism in Eukaryota, Metazoa, Chordata, Actinopteri, Cichliformes, Cichlidae. The record is from RefSeq and is a predicted model, not a curated record. The transcript has 2 exons.